UACAUUCUAAUGUCUUGUUCUCUUUUUUAGCUGACGUAAAGAAAUUAGAACAUAAAGUGGAUCUCAAAUUCAAAAGGUGCACCCUUUGCCAUGAGAUCUGUAGGGAAAGAGACAAUGCGAAAAUUUCAUAAAGGUUGAAUAUCAUAAAUUUGAGAAGAGCACCUUCUGCUCUGGAGCUGCAUUUGUCCCUAAAGAUGGAGGUUUUGAGAAUGACGAUGGUUGGAUCAUCUCUUUUGUUUAUAAUGAAGAUAACGGUACAUCUCAGGUUUAUAUAAUUGAUUCAAAGAAAUUUACUAGUGAGCCAGUGGCCAAAAUUAUCAAUGCCCCAUCAACAAUAACAGGAUCAGAAACUUUGUGGAACCAGGAUAUUGUAUAAAAUAUAGUCAAUAUUUAAAUAGUAGUGGGUUCAACUGGUUAUACUAAGUGAUUGGCAUGAAAUUAUAUUAAUUCCUUGCUGUCUUAGUGUCCUUUAUGUAAUUGUAUGUAUAUUUUAUAUGGAGAGAUUUGUGUGUU
This is a long non-coding RNA of Cornus florida, 513 nucleotides long. RefSeq lists it as uncharacterized. The transcript is spliced from 3 exons. NCBI's taxonomy places the organism in Eukaryota, Viridiplantae, Streptophyta, Magnoliopsida, Cornales, Cornaceae. The record is from RefSeq and is a predicted model, not a curated record.